GUUGAGAUUGAGCCCAUUCUUCUGCCUUAAAAUAAUAAAAAAUACGUCUGCUUAAAAAUUAGAAAUCAUGAAACUCACUUGUUGUACCAAAUCGUUCAUUUCGCUGUUCAAGUUACUUUUCAAAUUCGGGCUCAGCUCCAUUUUU
Non-coding RNA from Caenorhabditis elegans, 145 nucleotides. The record is from Ensembl. NCBI's taxonomy places the organism in Eukaryota, Metazoa, Nematoda, Chromadorea, Rhabditida, Rhabditidae.